AGAAGCCGUAUGAGAUGAAAACCUCAUGUACGGUUUUGGAACAGAAAUUUUUUGAAUAGAAUGAAUGAUCGUAAU
Molecule: non-coding RNA, 75 nt
Organism: Zea mays
Lineage: Eukaryota; Viridiplantae; Streptophyta; Magnoliopsida; Poales; Poaceae
Source: Rfam